Molecule: ribosomal RNA, 253 nt
Filed under: uncultured bacterium
Lineage: Bacteria
Description: partial 16S ribosomal RNA
Rfam family: Bacterial small subunit ribosomal RNA
Source: RNAcentral
UACGGGGGGGGCAAGCGUUGUUCGGAAUUACUGGGCGUAAAGGGUGCGUAGGCGGCUUUCUAAGUUGGAUGUGAAAACUAUGGGCUCAACCCAUAGCCUGCAUCCAAAACUGGAGAGCUUGGGUUCUGGAGGGGAAAGCGGAAUUCCUGGUGUAGCGGUGAAAUGCGUAGAUAUCAGGAGGAACACCGGUGGCGAAGGCGGCUUUCUGGACAGACACCGACGCUCAGGCACGAAAGCGAGGGGAGCAAACAGG